CCCCCACCCCCACCAGCCUCCAUCGCCAGCUUCGCUCGCCGCCGCCACCGCCUCUUCUUGUCGUCAUGGAAACGGGAUCCAGGCGCCCAGCCAAGGCUGGCUGCGGCGGCCGGAAACGGGGGGGCGCUGCUCCGCGUCCCCACUCCGAGCGACCUCUGCCCUCCCGGGGUCCUCCCCGCCAGGAGGCAGGGCAAAGAUCCCCUCCCAAGGAAAACCCUUAAAUUUACCAGGGGAGCGGGCGUUUUGAGUUUCACCGACUCGUCUUUCUCUCUUUGUGCCCUAACCUACCCCUACCUCACACCUGGGGGCACAGUGAGGCCCCCGCCAGCGCGGGCCUGGGGCUGGGCUUGCGGCUGGAGGAACGUGCGUGUGAAAAGCUGAGUGCAGACAGCUCACGGUCCGAUGGGCGGCAGUUUUGAGAAGAAAGGCUUCGUCCCCCUGCAGAACCGGCCAGCGAGUCCCGGGCGGCCGGAGCCGGGGACUCUGGCGGCGGGCCAAAGUUUGGGCUCGGUCGGAACCUCGGGGUUGUCCCUGAGCCACUGUGUGACCUUGGCCCAAACACUUCUGUCUCCGAACUGUGUGUCGGGAAUCAGGGGCCACACACUGCUGGGAGCAGCCUCGCCGCGCGGUUGGGAGGGCGCGGGCAGUCGCUGGACUUCAGAGGCCCGGGCCCGGUUCCCGGCCUUCCGCCCUGCGAGCCUGAGCGGGACCCUGGCUGCCGACCUGCCCCUCUGCACCCUCUGCCGUGCGUCCAUCCGUCCACCUACCCCAGGGCUGCUCUCGGCCACUUUCAGGACUGCCAGGUGUCAGCUCCGUGCCGUUCACCCCUACCCUGCCCCACGGGAGCUGGGAGAAGCCUUCCCACCACUCCAGACUCCGGAGAGACCUCCAGGGAUGAAAUGAGCCAGGCUUCUCACUGUGGCGCUGCAGGCCCGGCCCGGGCAUCCUCUGGCCUUUGUGACUGCCCUGUCUCACACCUGGUCUCUCCAGUGUCACCCCCAGAAAUGUCUCCAGAGGGUGUCGAUGUCCCAGGUUAAGAGCCAUUUAAGCCUUCUCUCUGAAUGACAAUCAUGGUGCUCCAGCUGUGUCCCGGCUGCACGUUCUCUGAGGGUUUUCCUCCUCUGAUAGAGAAUGAAUUAGCUCCUGUGGCCCUCACCCCGGCCUCCAUUCCUCCUUACAGAAGUAUUUUUACUUCUAUUGGCUCAUUUGGUGACAUUAAGUGAGACACGAUGACAUCAUGGCUUCUUGUUUCGGUGACUAAAGACAGCAUAUCUUUUCUUUAAAAACAAUCUGUAUUGAGAUGGAAUUCACACACCAUGCAAUCCACCCACUUCCAGUGCAUAAUUCAAUGGCUUUUAAUUAGCAGGCAGUUGUGCUGUCAUCUACUUGAGACCAACAUGAGGACAUUUUCAUUUCUUGGAGAGAUACCAGGUCUCAUCAGCUUCACCCGUGACCCUCCAGCUACUUCUGGCCCCAGCUAAACAAUGCACUUUCUGUUCCUGUAGAUUUCUCUAUCCUAGACAUUUCAUGGACAUGAAAGCUCACAGCACAUGGGCCUUUGUGUCUGACUUCUGCUUGGCAUUAUUUUCAAGGUUCCUCCAUAUUGCAGCUGUGUCAGUACCUCAUUCCUUUUUCGUGACUGAGUAAUAUUCCCUUUCUAUGGAUAGACCACAUUUUCUUUAUCAAUCAUCUAUUUUUUUUUUGGUUUAGGGAAUCGGACUCAGGACUUUUCGCUUUUGAGGCAGGAAGCGGAACCACUGAGCUAAAUCCCCAGCCUAUAUCACUCAUCUAUUGAUGGGCAUCUGGCUGGCUUCCACAUUUCAUCUAUUAUGAAUGAUGCUGCUGUGAACAUCUGAGUUUUGCAGAGAUGUUUGUUUUGCUAUCUCCUGGAUGACUAAAGUCACGUGUUAGCCCCUGUGAACACCCUGCAGCAUGGGGAAGGGACUUUCAGAAGGGGCGGUCUCUCUGGACCUCGUCCUACACUGGCUCUUGAACUCACCUUACCCUGCCAAGGCUUCCAAGGUAGCUAAGUCCCUGCCCCCCAGGAAGCCCUCCACCCUCACUGCCACCUGCGGGAGGCAGGAUUUUAAAAUGACCCCCCAAGGCCAGGUGUGGUGGUGCACACCUGUAAUCCCAGCACUGGGAGGUUGAGGCAGGAAGAUCACUGUGAGUGUGAGGCCAACCUGGGCCACAGUGAAUUCAAGAUCAGUGAAUUAUAUCAGUGGACUAUACAGUGAGACCCUAUCUCAAAACACUAAAACUAGGACCAGAGAUGUAGCUCAGUGGAACUGCGCCUGCCUGGCAAGCACAAGGUCCUGAGUUCGAUCCCUGGUACCAAAAAAAU
RNAcentral lists this long non-coding RNA (2344 nucleotides) under Heterocephalus glaber (naked mole-rat). Its description in RNAcentral is "lncRNA (ENSHGLG00000043738.1)". Lineage: Eukaryota; Metazoa; Chordata; Mammalia; Rodentia; Bathyergidae. The record is from RNAcentral.